CGUGCUCGAUCUGCUGCGGGCAGAUGAAAUGGAUGUGGGCAUCGAAACCGCCGGCGGUGAGGAUCUUGCCCUCACCGGCGAUGAUAUCCGUGCCGGGGCCGAUCACGAUGGUGACGCCGGGCUGGAUGUCCGGGUUGCCGGCCUUGCCGAUGGCGGCGAUAUGCCCGUCCUUGAUGGCGACGUCGGCCUUGACGAUACCCCAGUGAUCAACCACCAGCGCAUUGGUGAUGACGGUAUCGGCCGCGCCCUGUUUGUUGGUGAUCUGCGACUGACCCAUGCCGUCGCGGAUG
This 290-nucleotide small RNA is filed under the name Afipia sp. Root123D2. Its description in RNAcentral is "5' ureB small RNA". It matches the Rfam family "5' ureB small RNA". Lineage: Bacteria; Pseudomonadati; Pseudomonadota; Alphaproteobacteria; Hyphomicrobiales; Nitrobacteraceae. The record is from Rfam by way of RNAcentral.